UCAUAAUAUAGUUGGGACCUA
RNAcentral lists this non-coding RNA (21 nucleotides) under Caenorhabditis elegans. Lineage: Eukaryota; Metazoa; Nematoda; Chromadorea; Rhabditida; Rhabditidae. The record is from RNAcentral.